CAAAAUAUUAUCACCAAGCCCUGAGUUAAGGAGCUUACCACCUAUGCUUCCAUCUAAGCAUUUCAUGGCCAGGACCUCAGUUACAGCUGGAGUCAGAUAAAGUGCUUUUAUCAGGUCUUUUGGUGUCCAGAGAGAGGAAAGAAUGUACCUGAGCACCUCAUCGCAUCACCAGAGACAUUCAAACUGCAGAUAA
Long non-coding RNA from Myotis davidii, 193 nucleotides. RefSeq lists it as uncharacterized. Lineage: Eukaryota; Metazoa; Chordata; Mammalia; Chiroptera; Vespertilionidae. The transcript has 3 exons. The record is from RefSeq and is a predicted model, not a curated record.